RNAcentral lists this long non-coding RNA (3751 nucleotides) under Octopus sinensis (East Asian common octopus). RNAcentral describes it as "uncharacterized LOC118768574". Lineage: Eukaryota; Metazoa; Mollusca; Cephalopoda; Octopoda; Octopodidae. The record is from RNAcentral.
GCUGAAUUAGCUAGCUUGAGUGCAACUGCCACUUCUUCCACCACUGCUGCCACCACCACUGUCACCGCCUCCACCUACCACCGCUUCAACCACUGCUAUUUAUUCUGCUGCUGCCGCCACUACCACCACCAACACCACCACCACCACACCACCACCACCGCUGUCGCAACCGCCUCCACCGCUAUACCUGUACAAACUAUUAAUGUCUAAUUUACCACUGUCACAACCACCACCAUCGCCACCUUGUCACUGACUAUAUUACCGAUUCACCAUUACACAAACUCCACUCACUUGACCACCCAACCACUGGAAUCCUAUUGUGCACCACCACUGCCACCACAAAUACUACCACCAAUACCACCACCAAAACUUGGGCCCAGUAUAAGCCAGCCAGCGCUUAAUCUAUUACUAUUACUAAAUAAUAAUAAUAAUGAUAAUAUUUUUAAAAUUUAAACAUUACACAUACACACGUAUAUAUAUGUAUUUAUAUAUAGAUAUAUACACAUACACACACACAAACUGUUGUCAGGCUGUAUCAGCCUUGCCAUUCCUUUGGAUAAACAUCGGUAGAAUGGAGAAAAAAAACUUGCAUGCCAAGGCAAUUGUUGCCAUAUCUCAGAGGAAAACUAGAAACAAAACCCUGCUCAGGGCUGUUCCUUGGAGAAGAAAUUACUUUACCAUGUCCAGAAACUCAGAUGUCCAAUGCCAGAUUUCACACACUAAUUAAUGCAUGCAUGCACACAUACAUACAAACCUACAAGAUAUGAUCCUAACAUUCUGGUUAAUGGUUCAGUGUUGUAAGAAUUAUUGGAACAGAUGUAGGAAAGAACAUAUUGUGUGUAACUGGAAAUCUAUUGAGACAAGGAUAUUGCAAUGUGAAUAUCUGUAUGCAAUGAAGACAAAAAGCACCCACAGCAGUUGAAAAAGGAAAAUGAUACCAUGGCAGAUGCAUAAGAAUCCUGUAGUUUCAAAGCUUUGAGAUACGAAUUAUAAAAAGUCAGAUUUAAUUACAGUGGAUAAAAGGAUCACCAAAAAAUCACGAUGUUUUCGGAAAUGCAAAACAUAAAUUCACUGCAUGUUUAAAACAAAUCAUAUGAACAUUUCUCUACUCUUUUAUCGGUGGAGUUUUAUUUUCUAAGGAGAGAGGUACUCGGAGUUUGUUUGAAAUUUUGAUGUGUGCAUUAUUGAUAUGCCAGCAACUAACUGGAACAUCAACCAGAACACCACCUUUGGACACAGGCUUGAUCAAUCAAUAUUGUCAGCCAAUGAGAGAGACCUUUAUAUGGUAGUUAGAGCUGGCAGAAAUAGCAGCCAAAUCUCCCUCAAAUCACACCUUACUGUCUUAUGUAUGUAUGUGUAUGUUUAUAUAUAUAUAUAUGUUGUGUGUGUAUAUAUGUCUGAACCAAUGAAGAAGGCCUCAGCAAGAUAGCUAGGCCUGUUAGAAAUAGCAGCCAAAUAUCCCUCACGUGCGUUUUAUGUAUGUAUGAGCCAACAAGGAAGAUCUGUACAUGGUGGCUAAAUCUGAUAGAAAUAGCAGCCAAAUCUCUCUCAAAUCACACCUUACUGUCUUAUGUAUGUAUGUGUAUGUUUAUAUAUAUAUAUGUUUGUAUGUGUAUGUUUGAGCCAAUGAAGAAGACCUCAACAAGGUAGCUAGACCUGCUAGAAAUACCAGCCAAAUAUCCCUCACGUGCGUUUUAUGUAUGUUUAUAUGUAUGAGCCAAGGGAGAUUUCUACAUGGAAGCUAAACCUGCUAGAAAUAGCAGCCAAAUCUUUCUCAAAUCAAAUCCUACUGGCUUAUGUAUGUAUGAAUCAAUAAAGAGGAUCUGUACAUGGUAACCAGACCUGGUAGAAAUAGCAGCUUAAUCUUUUUCAACUCACACCUUACUGCCUUAUGUAUGUAUACAUGGAUGGUAAAUGUGGAAAAUCUAUGUGGUAGAUAGGUGUGCUAGAAACAGCAGUCAAUUCUCCUUCAGACUGCACCCCACCACUAUUUUACAUAUGUAACCAAAAAGGGAAAAUCUCUACAUGGUUGCCAGACCUUAUAGAAAUAGCAGCUAAAUAUCCUUCAAAUUUUAACAAAGCAGUCUCUAUGUAAUCAAUUGCUCAAACUGCUAAGAAACACUAGCCAAUAUAAGACAGGAUGGUCAUGGCUGGAACACCUUUGGUCACAGGCAGUGAUGGAGAUUUUGGGCUCGCAUCUGGACUAAGAUAUCUUUUUUUUUUGUUUGUUUUAAGUUUUUCUGUGACAUUAAGGAGCUCACUCCAUGGUCACAUGGUUCCAGGUUCAGUCCCACUGUGUGGCAGCUUGGGCAAGUGUCUUCUACUACAGCCCCCAAGCCAACAACAGAUACCUUGUGAAUGAACCUGGUAGAAAGAAACUGUGAGAAAUCCCAUCGAAUAUGUGUGUGUGUUUAUCUCCCAUCACCGCUGGCAACUGGUGUUGGUUUGUUUACACCCCCUUAACAGUGGUUCAGCAAAAGAAACCAGCAGGAUAAGUGCCAGACUUGAAAACCAGUCCUGGCAUCGAUUUGUUCAGCUAAACCCUUCAAAGUUGUGUACCAGCAUGGCCAUAGUCCAGUGAUUGAAAGAAGAUACAAGACAAUACUCUUCACAUGGAAUCAUCUAGGAGGACAUCUUGUACUCCCAAAUACAUUCAGUGAACCCAUCGACUUUUCUAUACAAACUCCACACACAAAAUAUUCCUUAAACUGGUUACUUGUUCUGCAAACCAAAUCUCUCAAAAGUCCUCUUGAAAAAUUUUUCUACUCAUUUGAAACUACUCUGCAGAUGACAUUUUAAACCUUAAAUCUUUAAGCAUACGCCUAACAACAAACUGAGAAACUGGUCCUUUUAUAUACCCCCCUAAAUUGGCAAAUGUUAAACAAAAUACAUCAUUCAAAAUCCUCUCAAAAAAAUAGUGGAAGAAUUUUUCUACUCUCAUUUGAAACUACUUAGAACAAGAACUUGAAAAUCUUGAUUUUUCAACAUACCCAAAGAUGAAUCUGUGAAAGAGUACCUUUUAUACAACCCCUAAACUGGAAACUGUUUAAAAAUUGUUCAAAAAUCCUCUCAAAAAAUACUGAAAAAGUUUUUCUUAUCACAUUUGAGACUAUUCUGCAGAAGACCUUUUAAAUCUUUAAGCAUUACACCUAACAACAAGCUGAGAAAGUGGUCCUUUUAUAUAUAUCCCCUAAAUUGGUAAAUGUUAACCAAAAUACAUCUUUCAAAGUCCUCUCAAAAAACACUGGAAGAAUUUUUCUACUUUCAUUUGAAACUAUUCCGAAGAAGACGUUUUCAAUCUUAAAUCUUUAAGCAUACCCCUAACAGCGAGCUGAAAAAGAGGUCCUUUUAUAUACCUACUAAACUGGCAAAUGUGCAACAAAUGCAUUUUUCUAAGUCUUCUCAAAAAAUACUAAGAGUUUUUCAGCUCUCAUUUGUAACUACUCAGAAAAGAAAAAAAAAUUGCUAAAUCUUAAAUCAUUGAAAAUACUCUUAACACAAAGCAGUGAAUGAGUAUGUUUUGUACUCCUAAAUAUACCUACACAGCAAAAACUGUUGCAUCUUAGCUCUUUCAACCAAACUCUCCUUAUAUAAUACAAAUUUUUUUUUUAAUGUAUAUAUAUAAAUAUAUACACUCCUUAAAUGGCCCUGCUCAGCAGGACUGUUAAAAAUUAUUUCGGCCAAACUCCUUCAAUGACUUCAGAGCAAGGACUAUGCGUUUGAAAUAUGAAAUGAAAUAAAACAAACUUUU